AGCCGGAAGCUAGCAUGGCGGCCGCCGGGGCUGCGGCUACAGACCUAGAGGUGGCCCGGGGCAAGCGCGCCGCCCUCUUCUUCGCUGCGGUGGCCAUCGUGCUGGGGCUACCGCUCUGGUGGAAGACCACGGAGACCUACCGGGCCUCGUUGCCUUACUCCCAGAUCAGUGGCCUGAAUGCCCUUCAGCUCCGCCUCAUGGUGCCUGUCACUGUCGUGUUUACGCGGGAGUCAGUGCCCCUGGACGACCAGGAGAAGCUGCCCUUCACCGUUGUGCAUGAAAGAGAGAUUCCUCUGAAAUACAAAAUGAAAAUCAAAUGCCGUUUCCAGAAGGCCUAUCGGAGGGCUUUGGACCAUGAGGAGGAGGCCCUGUCAUCGGGCAGUGUGCAAGGUAUGGGAAGGGAUGAGCACACCAUUUUAAUGUGAAGCCCUCUUUUUCCUUCUGAUCUCUAAGUGCAUAGUUCCCAUGCUUUGGCUUACUU
RNAcentral lists this small RNA (481 nucleotides) under Pan troglodytes (chimpanzee). RNAcentral describes it as "retained intron". Lineage: Eukaryota; Metazoa; Chordata; Mammalia; Primates; Hominidae. The record is from RNAcentral.